CCUACGGGGGGCAGCAGUGAGGAAUAUUGGUCAAUGGGCUUACGCCUGAACCAGCCAAGUCGCGUGAGGGAAGACUGCCCUAUGGGUUGUAAACCUCUUUUGUCAGGGAGCAACGCCGGCUACGUGUAGCCGGACUGAGAGUACCUGAAGAAAAAGCAUCGGCUAACUCCGUGCCAGCAGCCGCGGUAAUACGUAGGGUGCGAGCGUUAAUCGGAAUUACUGGGCGUAAAGGGUGUGCAGGCGGUUUUGCAAGAUGGAUGUGAAAGCCCCGGGCUUAACCUGGGAAAGCCAUACAUGACUGCAAGACUAGAGUGCGUCAGAGGGGGGUGGAAUUCCAAGUGUAGCAGUGAAAUGCGUAGAUAUUUGGAAGAACACCGAUGGCGAAGGCAGCCCCCUGGGACGCAACUGACGCUCAUACACGAAAGCGUGGGGAGCAAACAGGAUUAGAUACCCGGGUAGUC
This 461-nucleotide ribosomal RNA is filed under the name uncultured bacterium. RNAcentral's name for it is "partial 16S ribosomal RNA". It matches the Rfam family "Bacterial small subunit ribosomal RNA", at positions 338 to 795 of the family's 1533-position model. The record is from RNAcentral.